RNAcentral lists this ribosomal RNA (253 nucleotides) under uncultured bacterium. Its description in RNAcentral is "partial 16S ribosomal RNA". It matches the Rfam family "Bacterial small subunit ribosomal RNA", at positions 524 to 776 of the family's 1533-position model. The record is from RNAcentral.
UACGUAGGCAGCGAGCGUUGUUCGGAGUUACUGGGCGUAAAGAGUGCGUAGGCGGUUUUCUAAGUUUGGUGUGAAAUCUCCCGGCUUAACUGGGAGGGUGCGCCGAAGACUGGAAGGCUUGAGUAUGGGAGAGGUAAGCGGAAUUCCCGGUGUAGAGGUGAAAUUCGUAGAUAUCGGGAGGAACACCGGUGGCGAAGGCGGCGACCUGGGUCGAGACUGACGCUGAGGCGCGAAAGCGUGGGGAGCGAACAGG